RNAcentral lists this ribosomal RNA (200 nucleotides) under uncultured bacterium. Its description in RNAcentral is "partial 16S ribosomal RNA". It matches the Rfam family "Bacterial small subunit ribosomal RNA", at positions 133 to 334 of the family's 1533-position model. The record is from RNAcentral.
GGAGUGGGGGAUAACGUAGCGAAAGUUACGCUAAUACCGCAUACGAUCUAAGGAUGAAAUGGGGGCUUCGCAAGAACCUCAUGCUCCUGGAGCGGCCGAUAUCUGAUUAGCUAGUUGGUAGGGUAAAAGCCUACCAAGGCAUCGAUCAGUAGCUGGUCUGAGAGGACGACCAGCCACACUGGAACUGAGACACGGUCCAG